Molecule: non-coding RNA, 74 nt
Organism: Potamilus streckersoni
Lineage: Eukaryota; Metazoa; Mollusca; Bivalvia; Unionida; Unionidae
Source: the annotation of a GenBank genome assembly
CAUCUGGUGGCUUAAGUGGUUAAAGCGUCGGCCUCUGAUGCAGGAUAUCGCGGGUUUGAACCCCGGCCAAAUCA